Mycena vulgaris is the source of this 86-nucleotide non-coding RNA. NCBI's taxonomy places the organism in Eukaryota, Fungi, Basidiomycota, Agaricomycetes, Agaricales, Mycenaceae. The record is from the annotation of a GenBank genome assembly.
CCCGCCUUAGCUCAGUUGGAAGAGCGCGAGACUGUAAUGGUUCCCUAAAUAUCUCGAUGCCACCCGUUCGAUCCGGGUAGGCGGGA